This 808-nucleotide ribosomal RNA is filed under the name uncultured earthworm intestine bacterium. Its description in RNAcentral is "bacterial SSU rRNA". It matches the Rfam family "Bacterial small subunit ribosomal RNA", at positions 31 to 850 of the family's 1533-position model. The record is from RNAcentral.
GAACAGCUGGCGGCGUGCUUAACACAUGCAAGUCGAGCGGUAAGGCUCCUUCGGGAGUACACGAGCGGCGAACGGGUGAGUAACACGUGAGCAAUCUGCCCUUCACUUCGGGAUAACUCCGGGAAACCGGUGCUAAUACCGAAUACGACCACUUCAGGCAUCUGAUGGUGGUGGAAAGUUCCGGCGGUGAAGGAUGAGCUCGCGGCCUAUCAGCUUGUUGGUGGGGUAACGGCCCACCAAGGCAACGACGGAUAGCCGGCCUGAGAGGGUGACCGGCCACACUGGGACUGAGACACGGCCCAGACUCCUACGGGAGGCAGCAGUGGGGAAUAUUGGACAAUGGGCGAAAGCCUGAUCCAGCAACGCCGCGUGAGGGAUGACUGCCUUCGGGUUGUAAACCUCUUUCAGCAGGGACGAAGCGCAAGUGACGGUACCUGCAGAAGAAGCACCGGCCAACUACGUGCCAGCAGCCGCGGUAAUACGUAGGGUGCGAGCGUUGUCCGGAAUUAUUGGGCGUAAAGGGCUCGUAGGCGGUCUGUCGCGUCGGGAGUGAAAACUCAGGGCUUAACCCUGAGCCUGCUUCCGAUACGGGCAGACUAGAGGUAUGCAGGGGAGAACGGAAUUCCUGGUGUAGCGGUGGAAUGCGCAGAUAUCAGGAGGAACACCGGUGGCGAAGGCGGUUCUCUGGGCAUUACCUGACGCUGAGGAGCGAAAGUGUGGGGAGCGAACAGGAUUAGAUACCCUGGUAGUCCACACCGUAAACGUUGGGCGCUAGGUGUGGGACUCAUUCCACGAGUUCCGUGCCGCA